AGAGUUCGAUCAUGGCUCAGAACGUACGCUGGCGGCACGCCUAACACAUGCAAGUCGAACGCAGUAGCAAUACUGAGUGGCAAACGGGUGAGUAUAAUGUGGGAAUCUGCCUUUUGGUUUGGAAUAACACGGGGAAACUUGUGCUAAUACCGAAUAAGCCCUUACGGGGAAAGUUUUAAUGCCGAAAGAUGAGCCCGCACUUGAUUAGCUAGUUGGUAAGGUAAAAGCUUACCAAGGCAACGAUCAAUAGCUGUUCUUAGAGGAAGACCAGCCACAUUGGGACUGAGACACGGCCCAGACUCCUACGGGAGGCAGCAGUGGGGAAUCUUGCACAAUGGGGGAAACCCUGAUGCAGCGAUGCCGCGUGAGUGAAGAAGGCCUUUGGGUUGUAAAACUCUUUCGUCGGGGAAGAAAAUGGCUGUACCCGAAUAAGAAGGUCCGGCUAACUUCGUGCCAGCCGCCGCGGUAAUUC
RNAcentral lists this ribosomal RNA (472 nucleotides) under uncultured bacterium. RNAcentral's name for it is "bacterial SSU rRNA". It matches the Rfam family "Bacterial small subunit ribosomal RNA", at positions 8 to 526 of the family's 1533-position model. The record is from RNAcentral.